This 39-nucleotide ribosomal RNA is filed under the name Podosphaera xanthii. RNAcentral's name for it is "partial 28S ribosomal RNA". Lineage: Eukaryota; Fungi; Ascomycota; Leotiomycetes; Helotiales; Erysiphaceae. The record is from RNAcentral.
GGAUGACCUCGGAUCAGGUAGGGAUACCCGCUGAACUUA